GGUCGAACCUGUUCAACCUGAAGACACACCUGCUCUGUCCAUGUAAGGUGAAGCCGACACACAGGCCGACAGUCUGUUGUUCUUAACGCUGUCAGCGUCUUCAAGGGCGGAGGUGUGCGCUCACUACUCUCCUCUCAGGAAACUCUACGAAGAGACCCGACAGAGAGGCCGCUCUGACAGCUAAAGGAUCUGCUCCAUCUGCCCUCAGACCACUACGCCCUACCUGACCAAAGCAUCAUGGGACGGGGUGAGAGCGAGGAGUGGGAGGAGAAGCACCAGGACACGAGGCAAACGCAGCCCCAGAGGCACAAGGACACGGAGAGCAGGAGCUCGGGGAGCAGCUGUCCCAAGUGCUGCUUGCGGACGAGGGACUGCCUGAUGAGCGGAGAGUGCGGCAGGGCACUGCAGAUCUCCAGCGUCGUCGCCAUGUGUGGGAUGUGCAUCCGCAUGUGGAUGUAAGCUAACCUUGGACAUGGAUCAUCUUUUUCAGGCAGUUCUCAGCGUCCUCCAACACCUGUCAUGAGAGAGAUGCUGCAUGGUUUCCUUCCAAUCUCACAUUUACAAAAAUACACAUAAAAAAUAUAGCAUUUCACCUGCUAGGUUCUCUUUAAUUCUCUAUCCACAGCUUAUUUAUUUAACAUAAACAAAUGUCUGUAGAUUGUAUAUAUAACACAGUAGAAAGACAAUCAUUAUGAAUGACUGGGACUUUGCGCAGCAUGUCUUUGUAAAAUUUGAAAGCCUAUCUGAUUGAUCACUUCUGACUGAUCGAAACGCUACAGUAUUUACUCCAGAUGUUGUAUAUUUAGAGUUUUCAAUUAUGUAAAAUAGCUGUCAUAGUAGGAUUGUAAUAAGAACAAGUGGACAUCAUGAUGUGUAGAGGAAUGAAUGCUACAGUUCAACCCCAACAUCCUCUGCUAAAACAUGAGGAAGAUGGCCAUAUGGUCGGGGGGAAUGCUGUGAAACAUCUGAUGUAAUGAAACACUUGAAAUAAAGCUUUUCAGUAACAA
Molecule: long non-coding RNA, 1007 nt
Organism: Chelmon rostratus (copperband butterflyfish)
Lineage: Eukaryota; Metazoa; Chordata; Actinopteri; Chaetodontiformes; Chaetodontidae
Exons: 3
Source: RefSeq, a predicted model, not a curated record